This 255-nucleotide ribosomal RNA is filed under the name uncultured bacterium. RNAcentral's name for it is "partial 16S ribosomal RNA". It matches the Rfam family "Bacterial small subunit ribosomal RNA", at positions 524 to 776 of the family's 1533-position model. The record is from RNAcentral.
UACGUAGGUGGCGAGCGUUGUCCGGAUUUACUGGGCGUAAAGCGCGCGCAGGCGGUCCGGUAAGUCUCCGGUGAAAUCGCCCGGCUCAACUGGGCGGGUGCCGGGGAGACUGGCGGACUUGAGGAGCCUAGAGGCCGGUGGAACUCCCGGUGUAGUGGUGAAAUGCGUAGAGAUCGGGAAGAACACCGGUGGCGAAGGCGGCCUGCUGGGCAGUUUUGCUGACACUGAGGCGCGACAGCGUGGGGAGCAAACAGG